GGGAGCACAGGUGAAGGCAAUUCAGCUGUGUGACUGGAAGAGGUGGAUCCUGGCUGCACUUCUCUUAGGCCUCACUGAAGGGCUGACUACCACUGGGGAAGGAUCUCUUUCUGGAGAUCCCUCCUUGGUGAAGCUUUACCCUGCAAACCCUGUAUCUUCUGAUACAGGUGAGCAAUCUUCUUCCCUUCCUUUAUAGCACUUUUCUAUUAUUGUGCUGGUCCUACUGUCAUCACACCUUUGUUGUAGCACCUUUUCCAUUGUACCGGUCUGUCCAAUUGCUACAGGUAGCAAAACACACAAAGGGCUGGAAAACAAUGGAAGGUGUAAAAGCCGGCAUAUGUUUUGCACUAAAUGUGCAGUAAGAAUUAGAGGUGGUGAGAUUGACUCCUGAGUUACAGGAGGAGAUAUAGCUGGAGCAUCUAUUUUUUGUGAAGGAUUGUUGGGAAAGGAAGGUGGAAGGGGGGAGGAUGCAGGCUCAGGAGGAGCUGCAGGUGAAGCAACCACCUACCUGCUGCAGUGCCUGUCUUCAGGUGUGUGGAUGCUACGCUUGCUUUUUAGCAGUAAAGCUCAACAAUAUACAUAUAAAUACCUAAACUUUUCUGAAGGCAUGAAGUAUGCCUUCAGAAACACUUCAAAACUGGUCAUGAUGGUAACUUUAAGAGGGAAACACUGAUAUGCCAUUUUUUAACUGUUUUGUUUUAUUUUAGAUCUGUGUUUACUGACUAGUGUAAAUACAGAGAUUAGACUGAAGAUAGGAGUGUGUUGCUGAUGAGUCUAGCUUUUCCUUUUGUAUCAGCUGCUGCUGGAUGGAAACAUGAUCUGAAUUCUCCCUCUCCAAGCUGAUUGUAGGGAUGCAAUCAUAAAGCUGUUUCUUGUUCAGCUGGCUACCACUGGUUGUCCAGACAGUAUGCUUGGACUAGCUAAGGUUUUCAUAAUGUGAAAGAGUAAAAGACAUCGAUUUUAGGAUGUCUCAGUAAGGCAUUUGAAGAAGACAAAUAUUUUCAGUGUUUCAAACAUCCAUUGUUUAAAAAUGGUGCCUUUUCAAAAGUACAAGCUAUCUGAUGUUCGUCUGUUCAGAAGACUCUGGUGAGAAGGUGCUUCAUGUAAAUAUGCAUCUCAGGAGUUUUCUCCUAGAAUAGCUCAUGGUGAUAAUUUUACUUGUAAUGGAUGCUUCCUUCAUUUAAAUAUGAAUUAAAUGUUGAAAUACUUGUAAAGGAGUCAAGUUUUAAUUUUUACCCAUUCAUUUUUAAGAUGUCAUCUUCAAAGUUAUCCCCUUCUGUAAUCAUUAUUUGUAACAGUGGAAACUUAUGGGGGUCCUUUUCUAUCUUUGUUUUUUUCACCAUUCUUCUUCCCAAACUGUGCUGCAGAAUGUGUUAUCUUGAGGUUUAAUAACAUAGCCCUUUUUUAAAAAAAAAAUCUUGGAAUUCUUAGACUGUUACUGAUAAUGACAAUUUAGUGAUGACAAUUUAAUAGGUUUUUAGCUGUUAUUGAAGAAAACAUGACAUCUAGGCUCUGAAAAUUUCCACUACUUAUAACAAAAUUGUUCUUUUCCAUUUUGUACGCCUUUGAAAUGGGUGAUGCUGUUUGAAUACUAAUGAUGCCUUUGGCUUGGUGUUUCGUGGCUUUUUGGGUGUCUGUGCUGAAUAGGAAAUUAUACUAUCUGGUAACUUUUGAAUCUUUUUAUGUAAUUUUAUUUUUUUCUCAUUAUUCAUCCUUAUGGAUCAUAAUGAGUAAGGAAACAUUUUCAAGUCAGUUCUGAGAAAACUAAGGGGAGGAAACAAAUGUAUGGUGUGUUUGGUUGCGAUAAAACAGUGAGAGUGUAUUGAUAAUGACUUAUCUGCUGUCGUGUGACAACCAAGUAAUAUGAGAGCUGCUUAGAUUAAACUUUUUAAUACAGUGAGACAGCUGAUCAUUUCUCAUAGGCUGAUACUCAGUUCUUUCCUAUUGAGUGAUAAAGUGGAAGCCUUCUUAUGCCUUUUGUCAAAUGACAUCUCGUGUCUUUAAGGCUGGUAGUAUUGAUAUUACAAAGUAACCAAGACAAAUUAUAGCAAGCCUCUAUGAUUAAUGUUAAAAGGAAGCUGUUGAAAGUGAACAUCUGUCACCUGUUUAUAAGGAGUCUGCUGAGUAGUUUUUCCACGCUGAAUGUUGUUCCUUUCAGAUAAUUUUGACUGCUUCCAGGUAGAAGCUUUCGUAACUGUUAGAGUUUCAAUAAGUAUGCUUAUUCAAGUUGACUGAUGGCACAUCAUGGGUUCACUGAUUGAAAUAAAUGACUUUGCUUCUAGAGGAGAUGCUUUUGCUGCUUGACAUCAUCAGCCUGGUGGCAGAGGGUAUAGAGUUCUGUCUUAGUAUUUGCAUGAGUUGAAUAUAGAUAUGAGGAAGGAUCUUGUCUGUCUUAAACAUCUAAAUGAUGUGUGAGGAAACGAUACCGAAUGUCUGCUCCAUGAGCUUUAUGUUGAUCUCUAGUUAGCAUUCCUCUAGUAGAAAAAUCACAUGCAGUUUUCUGUUACAGCUGCAGAUACUUGAUUAGUAGAUUAGUCAAAGUUUUAGGUGUAGUUCAGGCUUUCUCAAUGUCAACCUAUAUUUUUGAUUUUGAGCCAGGCAACAGACAAAUCUGUGGGAGAAGGAAAUAAAGUAAGGUUUUAGUCUUAUGUCAAGAAGGGUAUGAUAGUUCCAGUAAGGACAAAAGGUAAACUAAAAGUAGAUUGUAGUGUAGGUUUGCUUUGAAUCCCCAGUUAUUUCUGGUAUGCCUUCAGCUUUCUUAGAUGAAACUCUUACUGCCCUUAUCUGUAAAGAUGUUAGAUGAAAUGGCUUUUAGUUCAUCCAUUUUGUCUGUGAAGUACCUUCCUCUGCUGAGCCUUAAAACUGAAAGGCACUUUCAGAUAUUAUAAUCAAAGGGGAAAAGGUAUUAUCUUACAUUACUUUCUUGGUUUUGUAGACUACCCUGAGUAUAUAGAAUAGUGGAAUCUGAUCCUCUUCUGUGUUGGAGGGUAAGCAAUCAAGACGGUCAUGCUGUGAAUGAUUGCCUUCUGUAAUGUCCAGCUUAUUACACAGAUGAGCAACAAUUGUAAAGUGAGUAGUAAUGACGGCUGCUAUAGUUUCAAGACAAACAAAUGACUUCAUUUUCUAGAUCUUUUUGUGAAAAGCUAACUGCUUGUAAAAUAAUCCUUGGAGCCUCAAACUGUGUGCAGCAGCGGUCUGUUUGUUACUGGGAGUAAUGAAGCCAGUGAGGAAUAAAAGGUAUGCUGUGUUAUCGUGCAUAUCUGCAUGCUUAUACGUGGUUGCAUGUGUAUUUGCAUCACUGGAUAAGCAGCAUCACUGACUUCUAAGAUGUUGAAACACUGCAAGUAAUUCUUAAAAUUUAGUAUGUUACAAGUUUCAAAGGCUGUUACUUGAAUCAGAAAAGUUAUUUGUUAGACCCAUGUAAUCUGGAUUCCAGCAGUUUGAAAGGGAGAUGAAGUCUAUGAAAUAGCACCUCCGCUGUAGACUGUGUAUUUCUUAUUAAGUUUACACCUUAGCACCAAUGCUCAAAUACUUGUAGGCUGAAAGUAUUUCUUUCUGUUGCAGUGCUUAUUCCUUUACGAGCUCCAGUGUAAGUUUUUGCUUAGUUUGCUUAUGUGAAGUUUUAGCCCAAGUGUGUUAAUGUCAAAUGGAUGAGUUGUGUGAGAGUAAAAUAUAGCCUUUUAAAAAAGCUUCUAAAAUACAGCAUUUUUAAAUGGUAUUCUGUUAUGAUUUGGCCAAAACAUUGUGGAUUUUGACUACCUUGAAGUAUAUGAUCUUCAAACUGUCAGAUAUCAGCAAGGAAAAAAGACUGGUGUUUAAAACUGGAUUUGCAAGCAACUUUGAGGUGCCUGAGGACUUGCAGAUUUCCUGUAGUUUAUCACAGUCAUCUUGAAAAUAAUGAUAAUUUUCCUACCCACAAGCGUUGGGUGAUAUAAAUAGUGACACUACAGAUCUUAAAACUAUUGUCUAUCAAGAGUUUCCUCUUUCUCUUUUCAUCUUCACUCUGAGGGGUGUUGAUCAAACCCUGUCUAUUCACAGUUCCUUGUAUGUGCUUGGAUAGCAGUUGCUGACGUUAGGUCUCUUCAUCCCUGGUUUGCUAAUAACUUAACUUUGAAGAACUAGAGUAUGGGUCAUUUUACUGCCAUAUUUCAAGGCUUUGUUUUCUUUGUUAUUUGGCUUGGUGUGCCUGUUACUCUGAAGAGCAAUGACAUAACUUGCUGUUGCUUUCACUUUUUCAUUUAGAAUAUUUAAAAUGGUGCUGCUUUUGUCAGCUUGUUUUUUUUUGGGGGGGGGGGAAGGGGAAGGUGAAGACAAGGGGUGGUGGUGGUCCCUCCAACAGUACUACGCUAUGGGACAACAUGAAGGUCUUGCUUGCUGCUGGACUUUUCUGUUUAUCCGUUCCAGUAUUCUGAGAUCCCCGAUUGGCUUAAAAGAAUCUGUAAGUACUGUGGUAUGGGGGGAAUACUUUGCUUUCAUUUAAAGCUCUGCAUCCUGUAAGGAAAGAUUGUAGAGUUAGCAUGUUAACUUUAAGCUGACUGAAUAUAGUAGGAUGUAAUUUGAUAAUCUGAAGUUACAUAUUAGGAAUUUUUGUCUUUGACAGGAUAUUGUGUAGUGUCUGUGGUGUUUCACCUCAUACCUAUGCAUUUAGCCUGUGUUCGUUAGUAUAGUGGUGCAUGAUAAAAGCAUGGGAAGAUCUUGUUUGUGAUUUAUUUUGUUGCAGUUGCUUAGUUUGGAAACAGCUUUAGCAGUCCAAGCUGUGUUCUUUCGAAAUGACCAAGGAGUGCCACAUUAGAUGAAAUAUUUCUGUCAGUAUGCCAAGGCUGGCUUCAGAAACUGAAGCGUCGUAGCAGUUGAUUUGGUUCCCUCACUGAUCUCAUGCUCAGCAAGCUCUGUUGCUUUGUCUGUUCUUCACUGGUUCCCUUUCUGGACAUCUCUCUAGCUGGAGUUUUAGCAGACGUUUCAAAGGUCUUUCUAGCUUAGGCAUUCAAGUGUGUCAUCUCCAGUGUAUGUUUGCUUCAAUGAACAGCUGAAUGUAAUGUUUCAUGUCUGUUAUUUCAGACAACUUAAUAUGGGUCCCUAAAAUAAGUAGGCUGGGGAGGCUGUUGGGUCCCCAUGACAUAGCCUUUGCUGUUUUGCACUGGUGUGUUGUUGCAAAGUGUAACAGCUAUAUUUGAACAAAUAUUCUGGCAGAAAUGGUGCAUUACCCAUGGAGAAAUGGAGAAUUCAAGUAAUGGGUGCUAAAUUAAUAAUUUUAGCAAGAAUACUGGAAAAGAAAGAAGUGUUUGUCUCUAGUAUGGUCUCUAAGGUGUUCCUUACUGGGUAUGCCAUACUAACCACUUGGUCUUUCAAACAACUGUCAUCCUGCAAUAUUUAGAUUCUAGAGAAACAUUUGAACAAGAAAAAAACAGUGUUGUUGCAAGUAUUUCAUACUGUGGCAGUUUGGAAAUAGGAAAUACUGGAUUAUGUUUACCAUCAACUGUAUGAUGACUGGAGGAAGGAACAUGAAAGCAUUUUAGUCUAAAUGUGCUUCACAUGUGACUGGAAACUGCGGUUCUUUUUGUGCUUUCGGAGUGUCAUCCCUUUGAGAGAAUCUGUUAUGUCUUCAUCUGUUAUGCCAAUCUGAAAUUGUCAUUCCUUCAUCAUGUAACAGUGCUUUGAAUUUUCUUUAAUGAUGAGUGGUGUGGUAGUUUAGCUUUCUAAGUGUUUUAUUUGAGAUUAUUUCUAGGCACAAUAAUUCUUGUGUGUGAAUAAAACUGUCACUUAUUCUCCGCUGUCAUUUCUCUCUCCUCUGACAUGACUUUAUUGUGUUGAUACAGUUGAUUCUUAAUAUAAGCUUUGCUUAUUUAUUUGAGUGCCAACUUGUUUAUGAAGUAUGACCACUCAGUCUUGCCUGGGAUUUUCCCCACUAAAGAUCACUUCAUGUCCUUACUGCUGUACUGAUACAUAUUUAUUAUCUUUCAGGCUGUGACUGUUUACAUGCUGAUAAACACAGCUAUUGCAGGGAGUGAUUGGCUGUUCUAUUGCAGAGCAAGUAAGCAUGUGUUCAAAACUGCUUAAUGUUGGAUAGUGAAACUUAAAAGUGAGUUUAAACUGUAGAUCUUGCUUCUUAAUGAACUUUGCCAUGUUAUCCUUUUAUUCUGGAUAACUUACUGUGUCCCAUGGUGUGUGUGCGUGUUGAACUCAAAAUUCUGGCUCUUCUUACAGAGAUUUUAUGUAAAGAAUGAUUUAUUUGAUUGAACUUCUCCAUAGUUCAUUCUGCAGAUGGAUGCUAAAUCAUCAGGUGUUGAUAUUUAUUGCAGAAAUAAGAAAUAACUUGGACAGUUUGAGUUUUAAACUAAGUUGAACUCAUGGGUUAAAACUCUUGACUUCUAAAUAUUCUGAACAGAGAGGCACUGAGACUUUCCAAAGUUGAAGAUGAUGAAAAUACUACAGAGGAAUGAAAAUGUAAUCUUUUUUUCUUUUAUUUGUAAUACAUGUUACCUCUCUCUCUCUCUCUUUUUAAAAGCAGCUUUUUGGGGAGCAGAUAAGUGGUCUCUUCUACAGAAGAUUGUGGUUCAGACUCCUGUGGCUUAAAAUACUUCAUAUCAUCAAGUGAGGCUGCCACAAACUGUCUUUUCAAAUGUACUGUGUAGAAGGAAGAACUGCUGUCAAACUCUUUCCAGUGUCUUUCUCCUUCAGCCUACUGUUUUCUUCUCUUUGGCUUUCAGAUUGCAUGUGUUACUGAUGCUUGUUAAGGCUGCACAUUUCCUGCCUUACCAUAUCCAUAGAGAGAAUGCUGCUGAACCACUCUGACUUCUGAGCUUUGCAGUGUUAGGCUGGGAAGGAUUUCUUGGCUUGGGCAUACAAAGUGAAUACCCAAUUCUGAUCGUUUCUCUUAUGUGAUUUGUGUGGAUCAUUGCCUUUUCAAGGAUAAAGGACUUGGAAAGAAAGCUGAGCCUGUGAGAGGAGAGUAUGUUGUGUCUAUUUCUAUCUGCCUGUUUUGGAAAGUCUAUUCUCCAGUAAUGAGGGGAGUUAUUCAUCCCUUCUAGUCGUAAACAGAGAAAUUAGUUUGCAAGUACCUUUUGAGAGACAAAAAGUGUGAUAAACUAGUUACUGAAGUCCUCCUCUGUAAUGCCUAAGCUUUACACGUACAUGUGGGUUAGCCUAGUCCACACAAACUUUUCCUUAGGGCUAGCAUGUUUACUCUUAACAGCUUAUGAACACGUGUUGCUUUUAAACUUGUGUAGUAGUGUAAUCUGAGAUGAGAGCUACAGUACAGCAGCUAAAUAUAUCCUUGAAGCAGUGCUGGUAAGUUCAGCAUUCAGAAAUUAACUUUCCAAAUAAUGAUGGCCUCAAUCUUUCAGGGCUACAGAAAGAAAACAGUCCUUUUUUCAUGAGGUCAUGUUAUUUCUGCAAUAUGAUUCUACUCUACUGAAUUUCAGUUUAUUCUUGUGCUUGCCUGAGACCCUGUUAGGUGUAUUAGUGUGAGUAUAACAAUGUUAAUGCGAAGCAAGUCAAUUUAGGAUAACAGUAAUGUUUAGUUUGUGGUGGAUAUGCAAAAGCUUAAGUAGUAAGGUGUUGGGUUGAGUAUAAGUGAGUAUAAGACACAUUAUUUGUCAUAACGCCAAUACAGCCAAAAGAUGUCUCCUCUUGCUCCAUUUAAUGAUAGCGGUGAUGGCAGUGAAAUGUGUUAAUUGAAUGUUAAUGUGGAAAUACAUGGUCAGUGUGGAUUUUGGUACAAUUGCUGCAUAAAAUUUUACUUGUUAAUUAAGCAGUUCAAUUUUGUCUAGUUAUAAAACGUGGAAUGGGGGAAAGCCAUCUCUUGACAAAAGCCUCUGUGGUGGCAAUUGAGUAUAUGGGUUGUACAAUGCUAUUGAGAAAAUUGGUACUCUUUAGGCUCUACUCUUCAUCAAACCUUUCUCUGCUAACUUCCAACAGUAAAUCUGGUACUGUAUUCCAGAGGUAGGAUGAUGACUUGUGUUUCUGGCAGCUGAAUUACGCCCAGAUUUUAAACUAGAUCAGUUUUCAUGUAGGAGUCUCCUCAAUGACUCUGAGCACAUUAAAUGUUGUACUGAGGAGAGAGAGAGCUAGAAAGUGGGAGGUAGUUUUGCAAACUGAAUUUCACAGGUGAGUCUUUAGGUAGUUAUGCAGCAACCUUUACAUUUCAUUGUUUUUUCCUACAUAGUAGGUACCUAGUAGGUCUUGUAUUUAUGCUGACUGAAAAUGGUGUUGCAUAUAUACCAGGAAAAAAGUAAUUUUUUUGCAAUCUUGAAUCUUGUUUUCAAAUUGCUUUGUCACAAUGGGAAGUCUGGUUUCUGCCGAGUGGUGACCUUGUGCCAGCUGCUGCCAUGAUGGGAUGGGGCAGGGAGUGGGCUGCAUGUGGGCCUCAGGUUGGACGUGCCCGUUCAGGACAUAAUGCCCUCAAUGAUAUGCUUUAGUUUUUGGUUAGCUCUGAAGUUCUCAGGCAGCUGGACCAGGUGAUCCUUGUAGGCCCCUCCCAGGUCAGCCAUAUUCUAAUGCAUGUUAAUUGCAAACCAACAUCUGCAAAAUGGACCUGGAUGUGAGGCCAUUUUCUUGACGGUUGUAGCAAAGUUAGAGAUGUUUAUGUAAAACUGUGGGCUGGUAGAAGUGACCUCGUCUCUGUAAGGCUGCAAAUAGGAAAUGAAUAGGAUGCCUGCUUCUUAAAACAUUUCAGUCAGUUUUGGUUUUCUGCACUGUAAUGAAACUGUUUCAGAAACUGCUAUUUGCAGUCCUCAAUAUUUAUCAGGUAGGUUCAAGUCACCCUCUUCAUUUCUAUGUCUUCUUAGAAAAGCCAUUUGAGUGCUGAUGUGGCCUUGAGGUGACUUGUUCACAGCAGAAACUGCCAUGUUACACAACAAGUUGAAUCUUAAAGAGGUGUAAGACUGGUGCUUUUUGAUGGUUAUUACAAAUAAGUACAAAGGCUUCCUAGAGUGUGGAGGAGCUGCUUUGCUUUUUAAGACAGCAAAGAAGGUUUGUGUAGAAACAGUUUUUCCAGCAUUUCUUAAAAACUACCUGAAAAACUGGUUCAGUGUAGUGGUAAGAGGUGAGCAUUCAUGUCGGCCUUACUAAAUUGUACUGAAGGUUUCUUAAGAGUGCCUGGCUUUUCCUGAGUUCAAACACAUGAUGCUCCAUCUGAUACGUAGCAAAUCAAACUAAAAUCUUUGGUUAGAAGUGAUUAAAUGAGGAUUUCAAACAGCUGUCCAAUGACCUGCUAAUUGGAUCUGAAUGUACGCUAACCAAGUGUGCAUAGCAUAUAGAAGUUAUAAGGCGUGCCUACCAGCACAGAUCCUUAACAAGUAUGCAUAUAAGCUGACACAUCUUGCCUGAUGCAUGCAGACUAAAUCUUGAGCUAACCUGAUUGUUUUUUAGAUUUUUAAUUUUUUGCAUGAAAGACAUUGCUUUCACUGGUAUUUUAAGUAGGCCCUUCCCCAAACAACAAAAUUGCCUAAGAGCGCUCAAAGCUUUUACGUCAUUCUGUUGGCCAGCCUAACAUCAUGUAUUCUUAAUAAAUAAAAGAGAAAUACCAUGACGACUAGUUUGUUUAGUAAAAUAAAUUAUAUUUCUGGUUAUUUUUAGCAUGUAUUGUAUAGUGCAGCAAGUACUUAACUUGCAGUUGGUACUUUUGUUUUAAAAACCUUUGUUUGUAAACUUAAUUACUUGCUGAUUAACAUUGCAGAGUGAGUAUUGUCCACAAAUCUUACUUUCAGUUGAAGAAAAUCUAGGAUAACAUCCAUUUUGAAUAUGUUUCAAACUUGCAGUUGUGUGGGAGGAGGAAUUCUGUGGGAGACGGGAUGAUGUUAGUCCACUGAGCUGUUUUGCGAGUUAUGUUUCAUUUUUGGAGAUUCGUUGUUGCUACAGUAUUUAAUGUUGAGCAAGUGCCCUUUGAAUAUUUUCUUUUUUGAGUUAAUAGCCACAGAAUCAUGGAUUUCAUACUUCGGGCCUUAUUCAAGUACUGAGUGAACUUGUAUCACAUUACCAAAAUUUGGUAAAACUGAGAUCACAACUGUAAUUUUCACUGUGGCUGAAAUGUGCUUCAGUUAUUGAGACCUUUUCUUGUUGCUCUGAAACUCCUACCACUGUGUCCAGCAUCUUCAGUGGGAAAGAAGGGCUCAGGAAUUGCAGUGCAGGUUUGUUCUGGUGAACUUGAAAUAAAGCAGGGAUUUUGGAACCAAAAAGGAAGAUGUGAAAGUAAAAUGCAACUUUUCUAAUUUUUUGUAGUUGUCAUUUAAUUACUGUCAGUGUUCAGCCUUAUUUUGCAGUGGGUAGUAUUGCUUGGUUGCUAAUAUGCUGUCCUCGUCGAAAGGUAAUUUGAGGCCAGGGCAUCUCUGUAAUUACUGGAGCUUCUCAGGACUGACAGCUUAGUAAUAGUAGUCCCCAGUGAGGUAAUGUUAUGUGACUGCAUGCAGAAAUCAGUAAAAAAUGGACUGCACGACAGCAGCAACUGCUAAUUUCUUGGAUCACUGGCAAAGCUGGGAGAGCUUGUUAAGUCCCAGUGGAGAACAAGGGAGAGGCUUGGAAAAUGUUGUGAGAAUUGGUGUUUCAAAGCAGAGUCUGGUGGGUGGAACUGGAAAGCUGUUGCGGAGCAGUUGCUGCUGUAAAUGAAAGUUAAAGGGAAAAUCUCCAUUGCAACUUGAAGAGGAAAAUUUCAGUGAAACUGUGCUUCUAAGAGGAAGAGUGUCCAGGUCUCUGGGAGACUGAUAAGCUGCCUCACAGCCUACAUUACACUGGGGGUGCUUUUGGCACCUUUACAGUGAAAAAGCCUAAUAUUGUUCUGAUUUCUUUUAUGCUGUUCCUCUUCUGAGCUCAGUGUGUUGCAGGCCUCACUUUCUUCCAUCUCUGCAAUUCUGUGUUACUCAUCCUAUCUAUGUGUCUCUUUAAGCUACAUUAGGGCUAUAUUUCAUUUAGUUUUCUCUUUAAUUGUGCAGAGGUACUUGUAAGUAUAAAACUUGAUCUGCCUUCCUCCAUGCUCUCACUGUUCUGUCCACAAUUGCUUUUGCACGAAGAUAAAAGUUGCCCUUCCUAAAUGCCUGCAGGUUGCAUGGUCAGGACAACGUGCCAGAGGGAAAUAUGUCAACCAGAGAUGUAGUUCUUCCUUCAUGGCCCUCCUUAGCCUUGUCAGUAAAGAGGCAAGGCUCGGCUUUGAUAUUCUUGGUUUGAGUUGCUUUUAAAAGCUUGUUGGCCAUCUAUCUGUACAGCGAAGUGCUAUCUGACUAGUCAGUCACACCUAGUGACAGGAGACUUGAGUGCUCAUCCUUCAUGAGAGCAGCUGGAGUGAAAAUCAACUCAGAAAACAAUGGUGAAUGAUGUUAAACUCAUGCUGAAGGACAUUCUGCGGCUAUCUUCCUCUUUGAGUAAAUUGAUAAAUAGGUAGUUGAUUUUAAGAAACACUUUUGUAGUCUUGUACUAUCUGGUUUCAUGUUAGACUCCUGAAAAUGCAUGCUAAAUAUUGCUUCAAUAACUGUUUUAGCUGGCAGACAAUUAUCUAACACCAGGCUCAGUAGUAGCUCAGUUCUCUUGCUGGCUUCUCGCUUUGUCUGCACUGUAUCCCUCACUUGGGCUGCUCUGAAUUUUCUGCCAAGUCAGGAGCUUUGUUUUUAAGCAUGCUGUGACAGAAGUGGGUUAAUCAGGAGUGCUUUAAAUUUUUCAUGACAAAAUCCAUGUAGGAACUGAUGCACAGGGUUAGAAACAGCAACAAAGAUGGAAUUUCAUUUCUGACCACACUGUUUGUCCUAUCAACCUGCAAAAUUCUAUCUACUAAAAAACAGUUGCAUAAUGUUACCAUUUUUCCUGGACACGCUCAGCUCCUCCGUUCAUUCAAAUGGUUUAUGCCUAGCUCCGUGGUAAUCAUUUACUUAAUGUUGGUUCUUGCAUUCCUGUAGUCUAUGGAGAAAGUUAACGUUCCCGAACAGGUAUUUUAGUUGUUGCAUUCAACAAAACCAGUUGUAUUCUGAGUAGAUUCCUGUAUUUUAAUUUUAUGGCCUGUGACUUUAGGGUGGAAAAG
Molecule: long non-coding RNA, 12001 nt
Filed under: Gallus gallus (chicken)
Lineage: Eukaryota; Metazoa; Chordata; Aves; Galliformes; Phasianidae
Source: RNAcentral